Dermochelys coriacea (leatherback sea turtle) is the source of this 263-nucleotide long non-coding RNA. RefSeq lists it as uncharacterized. The transcript is spliced from 4 exons. Lineage: Eukaryota; Metazoa; Chordata; Testudines; Dermochelyidae. The record is from RefSeq and is a predicted model, not a curated record.
AGUUCAGAAGUCUGUAGUUUAAUUAACAGAUUUUUUUUACGAGCUUAUCAGCAUGGAAACAUUUCCUCUGGAGUGGUGGCCGGGGCAUGGAGGGACAUGCGAAUGUUUAUCAUAUCUGGCAUGUAGGUACCUUGCGAUGCCGGCUGCAGAGGUCUCAUGCAAAUGCCUGUUCUCACUUUCUAGUGAUAUUGUAAAUAAGUGGACAGAAUUAUCUCCUGUAAAGGUAAACAAAGUUGUUUGUUUAACGAUUGACUGAACAAAAA